RNAcentral lists this ribosomal RNA (433 nucleotides) under uncultured bacterium. RNAcentral's name for it is "partial 16S ribosomal RNA". It matches the Rfam family "Bacterial small subunit ribosomal RNA", at positions 29 to 507 of the family's 1533-position model. The record is from RNAcentral.
AACGAACGCUGGCGGCAUGCCUAACACAUGCAAGUCGAACGAUACCGUCGGGUCUAUUUGCGCACGUGUACUUAACACGUGGUAACCUACCCUUAGGUACCGUAUCACUCCCCGAAGGAUGUCCUAAUAAAACAUAAGCUCAUCUGGCCAAAGAUUUAUCGCCUUUGGAUGGGCGCGAGUUAGUUUAGCUAGUUGGUAGUGUAAAAGCCUACCAAGGCGACGAUGCAUAGCUGGUGUGAGAGGAUGACCAGCCACACUGGGACUGAGACACGGACCAGACUCCGACGGGAGGCAGCAGUGGGGAAUAUUGGACAAUGGGCGAAAGACUGAUAAAGCCAUGCCGCGUGAGUGAUGAAUGAGUUAGGGUUGUAAAGCUCUUUUAAACGGGAUGAUAAUGACAGUACCGGGAGAAUAAGCGCCGGCUAACUACGUG